Molecule: long non-coding RNA, 1409 nt
Organism: Lolium rigidum
Lineage: Eukaryota; Viridiplantae; Streptophyta; Magnoliopsida; Poales; Poaceae
Exons: 7
Source: RefSeq, a predicted model, not a curated record
UGAUUUGCGUCGGCCUCCGAACCCUUUCCCCGCUUGCCCCGACACCCUCCAAUCGUCCCCUCCAGUCACCCACCGACGCCCUCAAGGCUCAAGCCGCCCACUGAUCUCCCUCUUCUCUCCUCUAGCGGCCUGGCCAGUGCUCCACGACGUCGUGGUGGUCGAUCGCCGCUGCGGUUGCGGCCUCGGCCUGCUUGGAGGACAAGAACCAGGAGCGUUUCUUGCGGGCGGGUCUCGUGGAUGGGGGCCGGCCAGUGUUGUGACCGAUGAAGCUUUGUACGAGAUGGUGUUGCGGCAGAUCGCGCCGGCGGAGGAUCUUCAGUGGAGGGGGAAGUGGGGAGGCCGCGGCAAGGAGGCAUCUGUGGCGGGAGACUGCUGCAACGGGGUACGUCACGAGUGCGCUGCAGGCUGGACGUUCUAGCUAGGUGAUUGUGGCUGGCAACAAGAUGACGCAACCGGCCGUGCCCCUCCGUCGUCCUGCUGACUCAUCUCCUCCCCACUCAUUUCUCAACAUUGCUGCAACCUCUGCUGGUUUCAUGAAUGCACACACAUCGAUGAGCACACGGCCCUGGCGAGCGAGCAAAUGUUAUCCGUGGCCGCCCCCUGCCCAUGGCCGCAAUUGGGUGGUUAUUGUGAAAAUGAGCUAUCUUUGAAUGAAGUAAUGGUUGCAGUGGAGCCUUAUGGGUAAAUGCAGGAGGUAGGAUCCAGGAUGAUGACCUCAACAUAACGCAUCCUGGUGAUAGCCCCUGUCACCUACCUCAUCCACCUAUGCUUCACUUUUCAGGACAUUUUGAGGGGAUCUUCCGCUUGUGAGUGAAGGCAACUACAAACAAAGAAUUGAUCUAGCUUGAGAAAGGAAACAAAGAUCCUCUCUCAAUAUAGGGAUGCAUUCAAGGAAUAGUAUAGUUUGUAUACUAUGUACUUAUCUAGGAUAUGCAGUAUUGCCAAGCCUUAUCUCUAGGAUGCUGCGAUGCUGUUACUGGUGUUGGUUUCAGAAUCUUGGAUGGGCUGACCAAUCUUGCUGCUGAUGCAUGUACUGGAUGCUGUUGCCACACAUGCUGCUGUUGCUGCCUUGAUGCUCUUAAUGUUUUCCCCCAAAUCAUAAAUCACUAUUCUAUUGAAGGAAGAAACUCCAUUUGGUGCCAAGGAUUAAAUCAUACAUAGAUUUAGUUGGUGGCAAUAAACUAACAGCAAGAGCAGCUUAACAUGUAACAGAAAGUGGUGGUCUAACUCAUCUCACUAGAAUAGCCAUUUACUUCAAAAUUGUAAAUCAAUCUUGUACGCUGCAACUUUAAAGUUCAAAAUUUGAGGUCAGGCUGUGUUCUAUCAUAGGCCAUAGGUUUGCCUUUGACUUUUAACAUCCGCCUGCUGAUUGCAUUUUGCGGAAUUGAAAUAUAAAUUUGGGGUUUUAU